GGCCGUAUGGUCUAGUAGCAUGAUUCUCGCUUUGGGAGAGUCACAACUCGGAAUUGCGAGAGGUCCUGGGUUCAAUUCCCAGUGCGGCCC
This 90-nucleotide transfer RNA is filed under the name Malassezia brasiliensis. RNAcentral describes it as "tRNA-Pro". It matches the Rfam family "tRNA". From Rfam's summary of the family: Transfer RNA (tRNA) molecules are approximately 80 nucleotides in length. The record is from RNAcentral. Lineage: Eukaryota; Fungi; Basidiomycota; Malasseziomycetes; Malasseziales; Malasseziaceae.